UAACUCGACAUCAACAAAAAGUACGUUUC
This 29-nucleotide small RNA is filed under the name Bombyx mori (domestic silkworm). RNAcentral describes it as "ovarian small RNA-18986". Lineage: Eukaryota; Metazoa; Arthropoda; Insecta; Lepidoptera; Bombycidae. The record is from RNAcentral.